This is a long non-coding RNA of Sorghum bicolor (sorghum), 1275 nucleotides long. RefSeq lists it as uncharacterized. NCBI's taxonomy places the organism in Eukaryota, Viridiplantae, Streptophyta, Magnoliopsida, Poales, Poaceae. The record is from RefSeq and is a predicted model, not a curated record. The transcript is spliced from 3 exons.
GUUGUUUGUGGAAAAAAGGAGCCAAAAGGCCGAGUCCGUUGUUUGGGUCUGGGACCAACUCCUCAAGACAUUGGUAUCCCAGGACUUAAGGCGUACACAUCGACAAGGCUCCAAAUACAAGUUCUGGCACGUCAGAAGGCUGAAAGUGAGAUUCUAGUGCUACAACAACGUAUCUUGGAUAUGCAACAAAGGGAGGAGCAAAGGAUGGCACAAGGAUCUCCAAACGUCGAAAUAUUCUCACACAAUGGUUCAAACUCAAGACAGCAAUUGAGCCCAAGAUCUGAGGAACUUGGUGAGGCCAAUCAGCAUGUUCAAGGUGAAGAAGAUGACUAUGUAGAGGCAAACAACUAUGAUCAGGAACCGGAUGAUGAGGCCAAUCAGGAAGUUGUUGCCCCUGCAGUCUCGCCUGCCAUUAAUAUUACAACAUCACCAAGCAAUGAUGUCCCACAAUUUACGUGUGAUGCACUUGUAAUCUUCUCAACCUCUCAUGCAUAUAUAUACUUGUGAUUUAAUAGCUGCUGAACCUAGCAUUAAUCCUUUUCUCAUAAAUUCAUCAUCUACUUCAGGCUGGAAAUGAGGUCAUAUUAUUUGCCAUGUCGAGUAAUGAAAAAGUGGCUAAGGCAACUGUUGUUUCAGUUAAUCCACACAAUAAGCUAGCGGGUGUGGCUCUUGGAGCUAAAUUCUGUGAAGUUAUUGUCAAUGUUGUCCUCUGGCGUGAAACAUUAGUGCCACGUCCUUAUGAUGAAAUAAAGACACUAGGGGAUGCUGUAAAGAUGCCGAUUACCUGGCCCUUUAAUCGAAUGAAGGUCUGCAGUCAGCAACCAAGACGUUCUCAGGAUGUUGCUGCAGGAUCAUCUCAGAGACGCUAGGCGGCGCUAGCUUUGUUGGAAGGAAGGGUGUUGGGAGCAAAUAUGCUGCAGGAUCUUCUCAUCGGGUUGUUGCUAGCAACUUGUUGAUAGGAAGCCACUGAAUUAUCAAAUGAUGAUGACCUAGAUGCUUACUUGCAUGCUUUUGGACUACAAUAUGGUAGUUUUAGUUUGUGGACUCCAACCUAUCUUUUGCUCCAUGUUGGAUCACUUUUGGCUAGUGGCUUUCACUCAACAGGAAAACAUUGCUUGUUGUACAACCUAAUGACUUAGCUAGAUUUUGUAUUCAGCUACUAUAUAUGUGCUUGUAUGUUGCCUUGAUGGCAAGAGGCUUGAGCUAGCUAGUGACAUGAUUAUAUAUGUACUCAUUUAAUAUUGAUGAAUGAGAGUAUGAUUAUGCUAUUGUGUA